RNAcentral lists this small RNA (5188 nucleotides) under Pongo abelii (Sumatran orangutan). Its description in RNAcentral is "retained intron". Lineage: Eukaryota; Metazoa; Chordata; Mammalia; Primates; Hominidae. The record is from RNAcentral.
GCAGGUCCACCUGUUGUUUCGAUAAUGGACAAGGUGACGACAGUUUUCAACAGUGCACAAAGACUAGAAGUUGUCAGAAACUGUAUCUCAUUCAUAUUUGAAAAUAAAAUUUUGGAAACUGAAAAGACCCUUCCUGCUGCACUCAGAGCCCUUAAAGGAAAGGCAGCAAGACAGUGUCUCACUGAUGAAUUGGGUUUGCAUGUCCAGCAAAACCGGGCUAUAUUAGACCAUCAACAGUUUGACUACAUAAUAAGGAUGAUGAAUUGUACUCUACAGGUAAUUUGUAGUUCUUUCAGAUUAUUCCUCUUAUUUGAGAAUACUUUUCAUUUUUCCAGAAUAUUUUGUAAUUACCAAUAUAUCAGUUCUUGAGCCUACCACAGCUAACAGGAUGAAGCGUCAAUAUCUGUAUCAUUUCUGUCAAAUGCUUUUUUAUUACUUGGCAUAAAUAUUAAGAGUUUUUGUUCUUUCUUUGUUUUCUCUUUGAAAAUGCUAGAUUAUUUUACUAGUUCUGUAAUAUAAGCAAGUUCUUUGAAAAUGAAAAGUCAUCUUUAAAGCAUUCAGUUAUAUAUUACUUAAUGUCUAUAGUCACAUCAGCCCUUUUCAGUCAGUUUUCAGUUGUCCAAGCAGAGGACAAUGAAUGGUGGAUAAUCCAAAUGAUAAAUGAAUUACUUAAGUAUUUAAGUACUUUGUGUUUGUAAAGCACAACAACAAAAUUUCCACUUGGCUUCAAAAUGUGUGUAUGAUCUUUCAGAAGCAAACUUCCCACAAAACAGUGAAGACAAUUUAGGAGAAGCUAAAAAUCUUGUUUCCUCAUCCUGCCUCCCUUGUUAGAGAGUCUGUGACAUUGGCAUUCUGUUGAGAGGUUAUGUAAAGUUCCUUUCUCAAACAUUUUGCACGAGGUAGAAAUGUAAUUAAAUAUUAAGACUUCAAAGAUCAUCUGUGGGACUCCAGAAAAAGUAAAUAAAUGCAUGUUAAAUAUUGGUACAUUGGAAAGCAAGAAUUAUAGGAUAUAAUUAAUCAAAUUUAUGAAUGAAACAAGGCCUAAAUAAAUGAGAAAAUAUACCAUUUGCAUGGAAUGGAAGACUCAAUAUGUUAAAGAUAUCAAUUCUCCCCAAAACAAUCUACAGAGACAACGCAAUUCCUAUCAGGACCUUAAAUAGAAGAAUAAAAGCCUUAAAAUUACCAAUAUACUCCUAAAGAAAAACAACAAAGCAUAGCAAUUUACCUUGUCAGGUAUCAAAAAUUUAGUUUAAGAUUAUAUUAUUUGGCCAGGCGCAGUGGCUCAUGCCUGUAAUCCCAGCACUUUGGGAGGCCGAGGUGGGCAGACCACAAGGUCAGGAGUUCGAGACCAGCCUGGCCAGCAUGGUGAAACCUCUACUAAAAAUACAAAAAUUAGCCAGGCUUGGUGGCAGGCGCCUGUAAUCCCAGCUCCGCAGGAGGCUGAGGCAGGAGAAUCACUUGAAACCAGAAGGUGGAGGUUGCAGUGAGCUGAGAUCAUGCCACUGCACUCCAGCCUGGGUAAAAGAGCGAAACUCCGUCUCAAAAAAUAACUAUUAUUAUUAUUAUUAUUUAUGACAGUGUAGAAUUGGCACACUCAUAAACAAAUUGACCAACAGAAUAAAAUAGAAAGCCUAGAAACAAAUGCACACAUAUAUGGAAAUAUGAUUUAUGGCAAAAUUGGCACCAGCAGUGAAAAGAUGAUCAGUUCAAUUAAUAGUGCUGGGACAUGUACACAUAACAUAUCAUUGAUACAAAAAAUGCAUAGAUACCUCCCACCACACACAAGAAUCAUUUCGACAUGUAUUAAAGACUUAAAUAUGAAGAGCCAAAAAAAGCUUAUCUAUAAAGCUUAAAAGUUUUCAAACAUAAUACAGAAAAUAUCCUUAUGACUUUGGGGUAAGGAAAGAUUUGUUAAACUAGUCACAGCUAGUGCCAAUGUUAAAAGAAAAGAUUGAUAAAUUUGACUACGUUAAAAUUAAGAACUUCUGUUCAUUAAAAGAUACCAUAAAGAGAGUGAAAACAUAAACCUCAGAGAGAGAGGUUAAUGCUCAGAUUACAAGAACUAUAAGCCAGGCAUGGUGGUGUGCAUCUAUAGUCCCAGCUACUCAGGUAGCUGAGAUAGGAGAACACAUGAGCCCAGGAGUUAGGCUGCAGUACACUGUAAUUGCACCUAUGAAUAGCCACUGAACUCCAGCCUAGACAACUUAUCAAGACCCUGUCUCUUUAAAGAAGAAAAAAGCCCUACAAAUCAAUAUUUUUUCAAAAAGACAACCUAACUUGAAAAUGAGCAAAAGAUUUAAGUAUCUUAAAAGGCAGAGCCGAGAAUGGGAGAAGAGCAGAGUUUCUGAGCAGCACAGUGGCCUCCCCUCCUCUCUCCUUUCCUCACUCUCGCAGCCUACCUUUACCUACCCACCUGCUCAAUGCCCAGAACACCUUCCACCAUGACCAUCUCAGCAAGCUCCCACUUAAACAGAGGCAUCAAACAGGUGUACAUGUCCCUACCUCAGGGUGAGAAAGUCCAGGCCAUGUAUAUCUGAAUCGAUGGUACUGAAGCAAGACUGCGCUGCAAGUGAGCCCAAGUGUGUGGAAGAGUUACCUGAGUAGAAUUUUGAUGGCUCUAGUACUUUGAAGGUUCCAACAGUGACAUGUAUCUCGUGCCUGCUGCCAUGUUUUGGGACCCCUUCCACAAGGACCUCCACAAGCUGGUGUUCUGUGAAGUUUUCAGGUACAAUCGAAAGCCUGCAGAGACCAAUUUGAGGCACACCUGUAAACGGAUUAUGGACAUGGUGAGCAACCAGCACCCCUGGUUUGGCAUGGAGCAGGAAUAUAUAAUCUCAUGGGGACAGACGGGCACCCCUUUGGUUGGCCUUCCAGUGGAUUCCCUGAGCCCCAGGGUCCAUCUUAACUGUAGUAUGGGAGCAGACAAAGCCUAUGGCAGGGACAUUGUGGAGGCUCAUUACCGGGCCUGCUUGUGUUCUGGAGUCAAGAUUGCAGGGACUAAUGCUGAGGUCAUGCCUGCCCAGUGGGAAUUCCAAAUCGGACCCUGUGGAGGAAUCAGCAUGGAAGAUCAUCUCUGGGUGACCUGUUUCAUCUUGCGUCAUGUAUGUGAAGGCUUUGGAGUGAUAGCAACCUUUGAUCCUAAGCCCAUUCCUGGGAACUGGAAUGGUGCAGGCUGCCAUACCAACAUUAGCACCAAGGCCAUGCGGGAGGAGAAUGGUCUGAAGUACAUUGAGGAGGCCAUCAAGAAACUAAGCAAGCGACAGCAGUACCACAUCCGCGUUUACGCCAGGCCUGGCACCUAAUUGGAUUCCAUGAAACUUCCAACAUAACGACUUUUCUGCUCUUAUAGCCCAUCAUAGUGCCAGCAUACACAUUCCCCAAACUGAAAGGAUGGAAUAUGAAGGUCUUUUUAAAUUCCUUAUGCCCAGUUAAUCUUGCUUUCUUUGUUUGGCUGGGAUAAAGGGGUCAAAUUAUUAAUUUCUUCACAUCUUUACCCUCCUUUUAUUUCCCUAUCACUGAAGCUUUUUAGUACAUUAGUGGGGAGGUGGGUGGUGAAACAUAACCACUGCUUCCAUUUAAUGGGGUGUGCCUGUUCAAUAAGCGUAGCUAUCGGAACAGACUGCAUGUUUGAAGGAGGGGGAUUUUUUUCUUUGAGGGACCUGAGAGGGGAAGACCUGACUUAUUCUGGUUAGGUUAGGAUUUCCCUUUGUGGUGGAAAUGUUUCUUAAAAGGUUAUAACCAACUUUCUACUAAAAGUAGUGAUUAGGAGAGAAGGUAGGGGUUGGGGAUCAGGGACGAGAAUGCCCUUGGUCUCCUGCUUGUGUGGGACUAGCCUAGCUUGGGGUGAAAUGCCCUCCUCUGAACACAAAGCUCAGUAUAAACUGAUGGAUAUCCCUACCUUAAAAGAAGAAAAGGUUAUUUUUGCUUGGUCCUCUAUUUAUCACACAAAAACAGAGUAGUAUUUUUAUAUUUAAAUGUAAAAACAAGGGUCGGGUGCAGUUGCUCACUCCUGUAAUCCCAACACUUUGGGAGGCCGAGGCAUGUGGAUCACGAGGUCAGGAGAUUGAGACCAUCCUGGCCAACAUGGCAAAACCCUGACUCUACUAAAAAUACAAAAAAUUAGCCGGCAUGGUGGCAGGCAUCUGUAGUCCCAGCUAUUCGGGAGGCUGAGGCAGGAGAAUUGCUUGAACCCAGGAGGUGGAGGUUGCAGUGAGCCGAGAUCAAGCCACUGCACUACAGCCUGGGUGACAGAGCAAGACUCUGUCUCAAAAAAAAAAAAAAAAAGUAAAAACAAAAAGAUUAUAUAUAUAGUUCUGUGGCUUAUGUGUGUUUUGCUAAGGGAAAAACAACAUAGAGGUCACGGGGUACCAAAUUCAAAGCAAGUAGUCUAGACAGAAAUCAACUAGCCCCUUUUGAGUAAGGAGUGAGGGAAGUGGUGCUUGGAAAGUUGUUGAUUUGCAGUUAGUCCCUCAUGACCACUCUAGGGUUUCUGUGCCCUGCCCACCCUCUGGAGAAGACGAAUACUGGUCAGUUAACAGAUGACAUGUUACUAGCAGUCACUUGAUCCCCAUGGCUUUGGUUUAAAAGACAUAUACUCGUCCACAUUGGUUUAGAGGUAAGAGUUAGCUGGUCAACUUGAGCAUGUUACUGACAGAGGGAAUAUUGGGGUUAUUUUCUGGUGGGAAUAACAUGUCACUAAAGCAGGACUUUUGAUAUAUUAAAUUUUUAAAAAACAAAAUAGAAGUUUAGAUUUUAAUCAAAUCUGUAGAGUUUCCAAGUAAUUUUUACAGAAUUGCUUGUUUGCUUUAACUGUCUCCUUCUGCCUCUGCUCUUGAAGGAUAUGGGGACAGGGCUAGAGUUAAAACACUUGAAAUUUUGUAUCCCAAUGUCUUUUCUCCCAGUGUGAAAUAUUCCAUUCUUUUGUUAAGACUACCGAGGAGUUAUUUUUUUCUUUUGUAAUAAGAAACAAACCCCACCUUUGUCUCUACAUUUCCCCUACCAUUCUCUGACUUUUGUGUAUGCUUCAGGGGGCCAGCUGUGGUUUUCUCUUGCCAUGAUGACUUCUAAUCGCCAUGUACAGUAUGCUCAAAGUCAGACAACUCCUUACUAUAAACAAAUUGUAUAACUGCCCAGAGCAGCUCUUAUAAAUCAGCCUAACAUAAGAUCUCCCAAAAAAAAAAAAAAAAAA